Long non-coding RNA from Stegastes partitus (bicolor damselfish), 2519 nucleotides. RefSeq lists it as uncharacterized. The record is from RefSeq and is a predicted model, not a curated record. Lineage: Eukaryota; Metazoa; Chordata; Actinopteri; Pomacentridae. The transcript has 2 exons.
CAAACACAGGAUCAUUAAUUUAUUCAACACGUUCAUGGUUCAUGUUGUAAAUGAUGCUUUUCUUUACAUAAACACAAAGUUUGUGUUAAAAAGAAGAAAAGAAAAAAAAAAAAGAAGUGUGUAUUACAUUCAACUAAAAAUCUGAAUCAAGUCAAGUCCUGAACAUCACAUCCCCACUUUGGGAUGAGAAAAGAAAAAUGGAAAAUUUGAUUAAAUAAAUAAAUAACAAUAAUUAUUCCAAACGAGCACCUGUUAGGCUACAGCUUUACUCCAUACUGAGGCAAUGACUAAUAUUUUAUAUAUAUAUAUUUUAAUACAAUUAUAAUAUAAAACAUCAGGUAAGAUAAUAUACUGCAUCCAUACUGCAACUCCCAACACAGUUUUCCUCAUUUUUGUCUCGUUUUUUGGGGGGAUUUUCUUUCCAAAACUUCAACACUGGACAUGUUUUUUUGUUCUAGAGUUCAUGUGGAAACUUUAUUUUGGGGUUUUAAUAUCAUUCAGGGUUCUUUUAAACAUUUCUAAGCGUGUUCAGAAAGAAGACGAAGCAGCAGCACAGUGUCCGUGGAAGGAAAUGGAAGAAAUUUGUCUUUGGGUUUUAUGAAGAAAAUGCAGAAAAAAAGACAGUUGCUGGUUAUUUAGGAGUUUUGUGCGACUUAAGCAACAAGAACCCACUUUGUUUUCCUCCCGAACACACCUUUAGCACAAGUUUUCUGUUUUAAAACGACGGUGGCUGCACUGCUAUUUACAAAACGCAGUUAAAUCGAUUUAAUUUCAGUGCAAGUCUGAGAAAACUGCUCCUUUUUUUUAGGCUUUUAUUAUCUGCAAAUGCUCCUCUACCUCCAAGAAAACUCCUCUUUUGUGUGUGUAGCUUCCAUCUCGUGAUUAAAAAAAUUAUGAAACACGUUAAAAGAAAAAUAAAGUGGGGACACCUGCUCUCAUAAACUCUAUACAUCAAUCAACUGUGAGCACAUCAACCCCCGAAAAUUCGACUGAUUUAAAAAAAAAAAAAAGAAGAAGUCAAAUCUGUGAUGCUUUUUCUAAAUUACGAGUUUUACAUUUGAUCUAAACCCACUUGUUCCACCUCAAAAAAGGGCAAAAAUCAAAACACAUACAAAAGGUACGCGAUGCAUCGAUGACUUAUUGCUUCAAACAUUUGUUCUUCUAGUCGCUCAAACUCGACGGGAAUCUUAGCGGACGGCUCGUAUCGUCGGACUCGACGUUUGCACCCUGAGUCCACCGAUUAAACACGACGGUGUCAAAACAAUGAAUAGUGCAUUUACACAGUGGCAACACUCCGGAGGCCAGAGUCGACGACAGCGAGCUGAAAAAUCAGCAUCUUUCUUCGUCCGAGUCACUAAAAAAACAACCGAUGGUGGUUGGCGAUGACGGACUGACUCGCCGUCGACUCUCCUCCUCCUUUAGGUAGACUUCUCAUUUUCAAAGACAGCAGCUUAAACAACGCAGUGCAACACUUUAACUCCUGCAGCCAAAGACGACAACAUACUAACGACACGCUAAGACGCUCGGCUGCUGAACCUCGUGACGUCUUGUGGAAGAUGUAAACCUACGUAUACGCUUCUUUGCUGACGAUCGUAUCGGGCUUUUUUUUCAUGACAAGGUUUUCUUUUACAGGAUCUCUCGAGUGCAUUUGACAAGUUUUUCUAAACACGACUGUCGUGUCAUUUAUGUGACUGAACGGCAGAAACGUUUUCCUCUUAAUGAAUAAACGUGUUCACGAAACGACGGUGAGUGUGUGAGAAUAGAAACAAAUCUAACAACUGCUGAAUAGUUUGAGUAAUUUAUUAGUUAUGGAGGUUUAGAUUUUGAAGAAAAAUACAAUAAAAAUCUGCAGUUUUAGCUUCUUGAAUGUGAGGAUUUGCUGUUUUUUGUCUGGUUUUAUAUUAUUGUAAAAUAAAUCGGACAAGCCUUGCAGUUUAGAAGGUGAAUGCUUUUCUGUUUUAUCACCAAAAAAAAAAAAAAAAAAUUGAUCAUUAGGUUUUGAUUUAACACAAACAUUUGAGCAAUGGGGGAUCGUUUUACUGACUUUAAAACUGCAGAAAAUAAAAUUAACCAGAAAAAUAACCAAAAUAUUUAGCAGUGAUUGCAAAAAUCAAUUACUAGAAAGAAUAAGUUGUCCUUUUUUUUCUGCUAGAUCCCUUGUCUUCUAGGAAGUAAGUCAACAAACAGAGCUGCUUUUUUAAAAAACAAAACUGGAGUUUUGCUUUUGGGAAAAUCUUUCAACCCAGAUUAUUGUCUCAAUUUGUCAUUCAACAUAUAAAAUGUUGGGAAAUUGUGAAAAAUGUCCAUCAUAGCUUACAAAUGAUGGUAAAAAACCAAAGAGUCAGUUUACUACAGUGCAACAGGAGGAAAAUGAGCAAAUCCUCACAUGAGAGAAGCUGGAACUUGUGAUUUUUGGGGCUCAAAAACUCAACUAUUGUACAGUUGUCAGUUUUCUGCAGGUUGAUUUUUGGACCACUUAGGGUUUAGGCAGUUGAAGUAAAUAAAUCUCCAGGUAAAAA